Cynara cardunculus var. scolymus (artichoke) is the source of this 452-nucleotide long non-coding RNA. RefSeq lists it as uncharacterized. Lineage: Eukaryota; Viridiplantae; Streptophyta; Magnoliopsida; Asterales; Asteraceae. The record is from RefSeq and is a predicted model, not a curated record. The transcript has 3 exons.
CAGGUUUAUUAGCAAUUUGCUGGUUUCCAAAUGCUUACGCCGGUGAAGUCACAGUUUUGAUCGGAAUCCGUCUUCCUAAUCUCGGGAAAAUGCCAAGAGGGAAACUGUAAGAUUGCAGUAUCAGUGCUGGAAGAUGCAACUUGUUGUUUGAAUCUGGAAAUCAUGAUUUUCAUGGCUUUAACCUCCACUCCUUGAAAGAAAAAGGUGACCGAGUAAGUCGCAAUGCUUGUACAUUAUUUUUACAUGGAACGUGUCACGUGGGACGUGUUACGUGGAACGUGGCAGACGUCUCACCCGAUCACCCGGCUUGUAAAGAUAAACUGUGGUGUAUAAACUGAUGUUACCAAUAGUUGCCUUGUCGAUGUGGGAGAGAGGCAGAAUGUAAUAGAACAAGUGGUUGUCAAAGAACAUGAAAAAUGUUCAGUCACAUUUUUAUACUGUUCACUAAUGCU